GGGCCCGCACAAGCGGUGGAGCAUGUGGUUUAAUUCGAUGAUACGCGAGGAACCUUACCAGGGCUUAAAUGUAGGUUGCAUGAUCUAGAGAUAGAUCUUUCUUCGGACUACCUACAAGGUGCUGCAUGGUUGUCGUCAGCUCGUGCCGUGAGGUGUCAGGUUAAGUCCUAUAACGAGCGCAACCCCUGUCGUUAGUUACCAGCAAUUAAAGUUGGGUACUCUAGCGAGACUGCCGGUGCAAACCGUGAGGAAGGUGGGGAUGACGUCAAAUCAUCACGGCCCUUACGUCCUGGGCUACACACGUGCUACAAUGGCCGGUACAGAGAGCAGCCACUACGCGAGUAGGAGCGAAUCUUCAAAGCCGGUCUCAGUUCGGAUCGUAGGCUGCAACUCGCCUACGUGAAGGCGGAAUCGCUAGUAAUCGCAGGU
Molecule: ribosomal RNA, 429 nt
Filed under: uncultured bacterium
Lineage: Bacteria
Description: bacterial SSU rRNA
Rfam family: Bacterial small subunit ribosomal RNA
Source: RNAcentral